This 89-nucleotide microRNA precursor is filed under the name Canis lupus familiaris (dog). RNAcentral describes it as "mir-8799 microRNA precursor family". It matches the Rfam family "mir-8799 microRNA precursor family". Lineage: Eukaryota; Metazoa; Chordata; Mammalia; Carnivora; Canidae. The record is from Rfam by way of RNAcentral.
GGGGGGAGGCCAGAUCCUGGGCUGUGUUCCGGCGCCCUGUGUUCCUGGUCUGCUCUGUGGGAUUCGUGCUCUCGGGCACACAGUCCCCU